This 105-nucleotide small nucleolar RNA is filed under the name Jaculus jaculus (lesser Egyptian jerboa). RNAcentral describes it as "Small nucleolar RNA SNORA28 (ENSJJAG00000009153.1)". It matches the Rfam family "Small nucleolar RNA SNORA28", at positions 24 to 126 of the family's 126-position model. From Rfam's summary of the family: ACA28 is a member of the H/ACA class of snoRNA that guide the sites of modification of uridines to pseudouridines. Lineage: Eukaryota; Metazoa; Chordata; Mammalia; Rodentia; Dipodidae. The record is from RNAcentral.
CAUAUUUACUAUGACACAAUUUGAGCUUGAGACAGCAAGAAAGUCUAACCCAUUCUAGUGUUCUCUCUGCCAUGAGCCAGCAGCUGUUAUAUAGACCUAAACAAU